RNAcentral lists this ribosomal RNA (253 nucleotides) under uncultured bacterium. Its description in RNAcentral is "partial 16S ribosomal RNA". It matches the Rfam family "Bacterial small subunit ribosomal RNA", at positions 524 to 776 of the family's 1533-position model. The record is from RNAcentral.
GACGUAGGGCGCAAGCGUUGUCCGGAAUUAUUGGGCGUAAAGAGCUCGUAGGCGGUCUGUUGCGUCUGCUGUGAAAACCCGGGGCUUAACCCCUGGCUUGCAGUGGAUACGGACAGACUAGAGGUAGGUAGGGGAGAAUGGAAUUCCCGGUGUAGCGGUGAAAUGCGCAGAUAUCGGGAGGAACACCGGUGGCGAAGGCGGUUCUCUGGGCCUUACCUGACGCUGAGGAGCGAAAGCGUGGGGAGCGAACAGG